Molecule: ribosomal RNA, 116 nt
Filed under: Bacillota bacterium
Lineage: Bacteria; Bacillati; Bacillota
Source: RNAcentral
UUCGGUGGCGUUGCCGCAGAGGGUACACCCGUUCCCAUUCCGAACACGGAAGUUAAGCUCUGCAGGGCCGAUGGUACUUGGGGGUUGACCCCUGGGAGAGUAGGUCGCUGCCGAAA